AAUGUCGUGACAUAUAUACCAAGGCAUACAUAUGUGUAGGAAUGCCGACAGAAGCGUCACUUGGAUUUCCGGAAGCCGGAAGUUUGCCUGAAUUUUUGCGAUGAGUUCCUGAAAUUUUUACAUCGCACGGUGAGAAAUGAUUCUGAUAAGACGAUUUAUCAGUUUGAGUGAGAGUCGUUUCGUGAUUUCGUCGUGAGUCAGCUUCCACCAACGUCGGAAUAUCCAUUUAUUCCAGAAUACAAGUCAUUAGGAAAAAUUAAUUAAUCAAUAAUAUCAACGGAUCGAUUCAAAAACUAAGAGAUCGAUCUUCUGUUUUUUAUUCUUCUACUACUGUAUCGAAUCUAUAUUUUAACAAAAUAAAUAAAUAUUAUUGAUUGAAA
Molecule: long non-coding RNA, 380 nt
Organism: Fopius arisanus
Lineage: Eukaryota; Metazoa; Arthropoda; Insecta; Hymenoptera; Braconidae
Exons: 2
Source: RefSeq, a predicted model, not a curated record